UAGGGAAUCUUCGGCAAUGGGGGCAACCCUGACCGAGCAACGCCGCGUGAGUGAAGGAGGUUUUCGGAUCGUAAAGCUCUGUUGUAAGAGAAGAACGUGUGUGAGAGUGGAAAGUUCACACAGUGACGGUAACUUACCAGAAAGGGACGGCUAACUACGUGUCAG
Molecule: ribosomal RNA, 165 nt
Filed under: uncultured bacterium
Lineage: Bacteria
Description: partial 16S rRNA
Rfam family: Bacterial small subunit ribosomal RNA
Source: RNAcentral